RNAcentral lists this unclassified non-coding RNA (243 nucleotides) under Melitaea cinxia (Glanville fritillary). RNAcentral describes it as "misc RNA ENSMCXG00005010310.1". Lineage: Eukaryota; Metazoa; Arthropoda; Insecta; Lepidoptera; Nymphalidae. The record is from RNAcentral.
UUCAUACAUUCUACAUCUACUCGUAUACUUCAUAACUUCUAUCACAAUCAUUUAUUUUAAGGCAAUUGGGGUGGUUCUAUCAGAAAAAUUGUGUUAUUUGCAAACGAGACUACGAAUAAUAGUGAGUAAAAGAAUAUACAUUUUUGAAGAAACGAUUUUAGUACGGCUACGCAAAAACGGUCAUUUUUAAUAUGAGAAAUGAAUAUCAACACUUUUUAUACAUUAAAUUCAUCUAAAUAGAAC